This 239-nucleotide ribosomal RNA is filed under the name uncultured bacterium. Its description in RNAcentral is "partial 16S ribosomal RNA". It matches the Rfam family "Bacterial small subunit ribosomal RNA", at positions 538 to 776 of the family's 1533-position model. The record is from RNAcentral.
GCGUUGUCCGGAAUCAUUGGGCGUAAAGCGCGUGUAGGCGGCCCGGUAAGUCCGCUGUGAAAGUCGGGGGCUCAACCCUCGAAUGCCGGUGGAUACUGUCGGGCUAGAGUGCGGAAGAGGCGAGUGGAAUUCCUGGUGUAGCGGUGAAAUGCGCAGAUAUCAGGAGGAACACCAAUUGCGAAGGCAGCUCGCUGGGACGUGACUGACGCUGAGACGCGAAAGCGUGGGGAGCAAACAGG